AUUCCGGGACAGGCAAGUCUACCCAUAAUUCCCUGUAUUGCCGAGGGCGCCAUUUUGGAACACAAAUGUAAACAAACACUCAAACCUCGUGUAAUCGAUGUACACCGUGAUGCUUGAUUGCGAUAUGCUUACCUGGUGUAUCGAUACAUUGUUCUCAAUCACCUCUAACACGGAAAUCCCGGUCGAAAUCCAUCUGAGCCAUCCACAACGAGGACGUCAAGUACUUCGAAAACUCGAUUGACAGCCGAAGGAAGGAAGAGCACCUUGCGGAUGCUAGCAUGUUCAGGGUUUGUGGGGAGGUUCACAGACAUCUUCAGGGAGGAUACGAAGUGUUGAAAUGUCCGGAUGAAUAAAAGAGACAGUCAUCUGUGCAGCAUCAAUGCAAGGAAAGACCAUAGAAGAGCAACAAAACUGAAGUCCUGCUUGAGAUCCCUGGAUGAGUACUCCAGGUUGACAGCCUGGAAGGACCAGACAAGGGAGUCCUUAACAGGGCGUGCACCCCUUCAGAUAUCAGAGGUGAUUUGCAGACAGCGAUGAUGAGGGUCCUGUUAUUUCAAUGGAGGCUGACCGAGAAGUUAUAUGCCAAAUGGUACUGGGACACACAAGACUGGUCUGGCUAAUGUGAGAAGACCAACCAAUGCCAAGCUGGAGUGGAAUCCUUCCAGGACAUUCAAGAAAUUCUUGUCCUGAGCCAUGUGGUAAACACUUGAACGGAAUGAUAAAUGGGACUUAUUGUCUUUCAAUGUGGACCCAAACACCAAAUGGAAAGUUCACAAUUCUACUAGCGCAAUGCAGCAGGGAUUGAGUCCAACUGGUAUCCCCUCAUCCUGGUUCCUGUUCAUCCAUGGCAAUAUAGAAAGAAAAGUAGGAUUGAGGGAAAGUAAGUUCUCUGAACUGGUGAACAUAAUCCGUAGGUACUGUCAAGCGAACAGUUAUCACACUCUGUUAUGAGUAUUGAAGAAUAGGAUGAAAUUGCAUACUGCAUCAGGAACAAUCGUGUGAACACUGUUCAGUGUGCGAUAUACUAUAGGCAUGAUAGGCAUAUGAAUAAAAAAAAUAUGAUAAUUUGA
Molecule: long non-coding RNA, 1070 nt
Filed under: Haliotis rufescens (red abalone)
Lineage: Eukaryota; Metazoa; Mollusca; Gastropoda; Lepetellida; Haliotidae
Description: uncharacterized LOC125377401
Source: RNAcentral